Molecule: ribosomal RNA, 383 nt
Filed under: uncultured fungus
Lineage: Eukaryota; Fungi
Description: SSU rRNA
Rfam family: Eukaryotic small subunit ribosomal RNA
Source: RNAcentral
CGUGCGGUUCUAUUUUGUUGGUUUCUAGGACCGCCGUAAUGAUUAAUAGGGAUAGUCGGGGGCGUCAGUAUUCAGCUGUCAGAGGUGAAAUUCUUGGAUUUGCUGAAGACUAUCUACUGCGAAAGCAUUCGCCAAGGAUGUUUUCAUUAAUCAGGGAACGAAAGUUAGGGGAUCGAAGACGAUCAGAUACCGUCGUAGUCUUAACCAUAAACUAUGCCGACUAGGGAUCGGACGGUGUUUCUAUUAUGACCCGUUCGGCACCUUACGAGAAAUCAAAGUUUUUGGGUUCUGGGGGGAGUAUGGUCGCAAGGCUGAAACUUAAAGAAAUUGACGGAAGGGCACCACCAGGAGUGGAGCCUGCGGCUUAAUUUGAUUCAACACGG